GUAAAUAUAAUUUAACUAAAAUAUUAGAUUGUGAAUCUAAACAUAGAAACUUAUCCCUUCUUAUUUACC
Molecule: transfer RNA, 69 nt
Filed under: Trachypithecus phayrei (Phayre's leaf monkey)
Lineage: Eukaryota; Metazoa; Chordata; Mammalia; Primates; Cercopithecidae
Description: tRNA-His
Source: RNAcentral